AACACCUCAAAGCCUUUUUUCUUUUUUGAAGAAAGGCUUUGGACUUGAGCAAUCCCAACACCAAUCUUUUUAAAGAGAGGGGGCGGGUUGCUUGAAAUGCAGGUGCAGCUGGACAUUCUCCUGAGCUAAAAGCAUAUUCAUUUAGUCCCGUCAAACGGAUUAUUACUUUUGCUGCAGCUAACAUAAAGGGAGUUUGACCAUUUUGGCUGACUGAUGCAGGAUUUUCACAAGAGUCUUCAAAACCUCUUGUUAA
This 253-nucleotide unclassified non-coding RNA is filed under the name Mortierella sp. RNAcentral's name for it is "partial internal transcribed spacer 2". The record is from RNAcentral. Lineage: Eukaryota; Fungi; Mortierellomycota; Mortierellomycetes; Mortierellales; Mortierellaceae. RNAcentral also lists the same sequence under 1 other name.